AGAGUUUGGAACAGGCUCAGGACGAACGCUGGCGGCGUGCCUAAUACAUGCAAGUCGAGCGGACCGACGGGAGCUUGCUCCCUUAGGUCAGCGGCGGACGGGUGAGUAACACGUGGGUAACCUGCCUGUAAGACUGGGAUAACUCCGGGAAACCGGGGCUAAUACCGGAUGCUUGAUUGAACCGCAUGGUUCAAUCAUAAAAGGUGGCUUUUAGCUACCACUUGCAGAUGGACCCGCGGCGCAUUAGCUAGUUGGUGAGGUAACGGCUCACCAAGGCGACGAUGCGUAGCCGACCUGAGAGGGUGAUCGGCCACACUGGGACUGAGACACGGCCCAGACUCCUACGGGAGGCAGCAGUAGGGAAUCUUCCGCAAUGGACGAAAGUCUGACGGAGCAACGCCGCGUGAGUGAUGAAGGUUUUCGGAUCGUAAAACUCUGUUGUUAGGGAAGAACAAGUACCGUUCGAAUAGGGCGGCACCUUGACGGUACCUAACCAGAAAGCCACGGCUAACUACGUGCCAGCAGCCGCGGUAAUACGUAGGUGGCAAGCAGUGUCGGAAUAUUGGGCGUAAAGCGCGCGCAGGCGGUUUCUUAAGUCUGAUGUGAAAGCCCCCGGCUCAACCGGGGAGGGUCAUUGGAAACUGGGGAACUUGAGUGCAGAAGAGGAGAGUGGAAUUCCACGUGUAGCGGUGAAAUGCGUAGAGAUGUGGAGGAACACCAGUGGCGAAGGCGACUCUCUGGUCUGUAACUGACGCUGAGCGGAAAGAACGCCGAGCGAACAGGAUUAGAUACCCUGGUAGUCCACGCCGUAAACGAUGAGUGCUAAGUGUUAGAGGGUUUCCGCCCUUUAGUGCUGCAGCAAACGCAUUAAGCACUCCGCCUGGGGAGUACGGUCGCAAGACUGAAACUCAAAGGAAUUGACGGGGGCCCGCACAAGCGGUGGAGCAUGUGGUUUAAUUCGAAGCAACGCGAAGAACCUUACCAGGUCUUGACAUCCUCUGACAACCCUAGAGAUAGGGCUUCCCCUUCGGGGGCAGAGUGACAGGUGGUGCAUGGUUGUCGUCAGCUCGUGUCGUGAGAUGUUGGGUUAAGUCCCGCAACGAGCGCAACCCUUGAUCUUAGUUGCCAGCAUUCAGUUGGGCACUCUAAGGUGACUGCCGGUGACAAACCGGAGGAAGGUGGGGAUGACGUCAAAUCAUCAUGCCCCUUAUGACCUGGGCUACACACGUGCUACAAUGGGCAGAACAAAGGGCAGCGAAGCCGCGAGGCUAAGCCAAUCCCACAAAUCUGUUCUCAGUUCGGAUCGCAGUCUGCAACUCGACUGCGUGAAGCUGGAAUCGCUAGUAAUCGCGGAUCAGCAUGCCGCGGGUGAAUACGUUCCCGGGCCUUGUACACACCGCCCGUCACACCACGAGAGUUUGUAACACCCGAAGUCGGUGAGGUAACCUUUUGGAGCCAGCCGCCGAAGGUGGGACAGAUGAUUGGGGUGAAUCUAAAAAGG
Molecule: ribosomal RNA, 1501 nt
Filed under: Bacillus licheniformis
Lineage: Bacteria; Bacillati; Bacillota; Bacilli; Caryophanales; Bacillaceae
Description: bacterial SSU rRNA
Rfam family: Bacterial small subunit ribosomal RNA
Source: RNAcentral